RNAcentral lists this long non-coding RNA (240 nucleotides) under Oryza brachyantha (malo sina). RNAcentral describes it as "long non-coding RNA (OBRA_LNC001906)". Lineage: Eukaryota; Viridiplantae; Streptophyta; Magnoliopsida; Poales; Poaceae. The record is from RNAcentral.
CGGCGGCGGCGAGGAGGGGCGCGGCGCGGGGGGAGCUCGCCAUUAUUGAGCUCUUCUUGGAGGUUGGCGGAUGAGCGAGUGAGCAGUGAGCUCAGCUCGGGUGGAGUACACAGUGGCACAGUGUGUGUGUUGGCUCUUUGCUUGGUCACUUGGGUGAUUGCUUUGUAUACUACUCUACUGAUCAACACCAACUUAUAUAAGGAGAGAAAAACUAUUAUAAAUUUGGAAAUGAGAGAAUUU